Molecule: long non-coding RNA, 662 nt
Filed under: Oreochromis niloticus (Nile tilapia)
Lineage: Eukaryota; Metazoa; Chordata; Actinopteri; Cichliformes; Cichlidae
Description: lncRNA (ENSONIG00000022584.2)
Source: RNAcentral
AUGAAGUUGUCCGAUCAGCGAUCAGGAGAUCCAAAUCUUUGAUGUCAUUGUGAUGGAUGUGGCGUUUGUGAGGAAACAGGCUGGGAGGAGAACACCGGGAGGUGGAGGUUUAGGCUGGCCGCAUAGCAGAUCGACAUGCCCGCUUCUGCUUCAGCUCUCUCCGCCGUCUAAGUCGCUGCUGGUCCGGCUACAAUCCACGGCGAGCUCUGACCAGAAAAACAUCACAGCUGAGUCUGGACAAAACAAUGUCACUCUGCCAUGUUGAGCUCCAAACAAUAUCAUACUUGUGGAGUGGAGAAGAGCUGACCUUGAUCCACAAGAUGUUAUUUCAUUUCGGAAGAACUACUUUGUUCUCGUCAGGCAGCAUCCAACUUUUAAGAACCGGGUGGAUCUGCAGGACAGACAGAUGAAGGAUGGAGACGUGUCUUUGAUUCUGAAGGAUGUGACGAUUAAUGACACUGGAACAUACGAGUGUCAUACCUUCAUGGAGAAAACCAAAUCAUGGGAAAACAUCUGCAUCAUCUACCUGAGUGUUGUUGAUCCUCCAGGUCAGACAGGAGGACACACAGAGGAUGGAGGGAAUAAAUAUCCUGCCUUAAGUCAGCCACCAUCGUUCCAGUGCCCAAGAAGAACACAGUGAGCUGCUUGAAUGACUAUCGUCC